AACCAAUAUCAGUCACUCAUGGCCAGAGGCAAACAAGCUGAGCCAAAAGUGAAAAUAAAAGCCAGUCCACGCAAACAACGCGAGCGUAAAAGGAGCACUUUCGCUUACAAGACGAGCAACGAUCCGUCGAGCAGCACGCAAGAGAAGUCUGUCAAAAAGUCAAAGCCGAGUCAGAAAAUUCCUAUGGAAAAUCUUAUUGCUGGUUACCUGGAGCUGUGGAAUAGGCAUACAAGAAGUCGGCCUCCACAGGAAUCCUCUCCGAUGUUUGCUCCUCAACACUGUCGGCUUGGAGGCCCGUCCCCCCAUCCAGUUCCGAGCCACGGCAUGCCUGAAAGAUGUUUGUUCUUUCAAAAUGACUCAAUUCAAAUAAAAUAAAAUAAAAUGGUCCAUAAUGA
This is a long non-coding RNA of Syngnathus acus (greater pipefish), 395 nucleotides long. RefSeq lists it as uncharacterized. The record is from RefSeq and is a predicted model, not a curated record. The transcript is spliced from 2 exons. Lineage: Eukaryota; Metazoa; Chordata; Actinopteri; Syngnathiformes; Syngnathidae.